Molecule: small RNA, 577 nt
Filed under: Pongo abelii (Sumatran orangutan)
Lineage: Eukaryota; Metazoa; Chordata; Mammalia; Primates; Hominidae
Description: retained intron
Source: RNAcentral
AGCCUGAAGCGGAAGUGGAGGAAAGAUGGAGGUGUGGGGACAGGAGAUGGGUGUGCUGGGGACUGGCCGCGGACCCCUAACCUAUGUCCCCGGUAUCCCUCCGGGAGCGGCUCAACCCAGCCCAUCGCUCUGGCCCCGUUCUGGCCCUGCAGGGUGGUGGUUGGGACCGUGAAAUGAGCGCGCGAGUGGUACGUCCGCUCUCCGCGCUCACGCCCCCCCCCCACCGUGUUUCCCGCCAGGACCAUCAGCACGUGCCCAUCGACAUCCAGACCAGCAAGCUGCUCGAUUGGCUGGUGGACAGAAGGCACUGCAGCCUGAAAUGGCAGAGUCUGGUGCUGACGAUCCGCGAGAAGAUCAAUGCUGCCAUCCAGGAUAUGCCAGAGAGCGAAGAGAUCGCCCAGCUGCUGUCUGGGUCCUGUGAGUGCUUAGGGGCUGUCACUGGAGUCCCCUCUUUGCUGAGGUAGUAUGUAUCAGCUGAGCUACUCUCUUGUUAUUUAGCCACCAGGGCUGGCCUGUAGAGAGGGAGCGAUUUUUAUUUGAGGUAUAGAUACUGGCUUCUUGCACUAUGAAAUGAUUA